AAUACUUAGGAAUCUACCUAUUAAUGGGGGACAACAUUUCGAAAGGAAUGCUAAUACCGCAUACGCCCUACGGGGGAAAGCAGGGGAUCUUCGGACCUUGCGUUAAUAGAUGAGCCUAAGUCGGAUUAGCUAGUUGGUGGGGUAAAGGCCUACCAAGGCGACGAUCUGUAGCGGGUCUGAGAGGAUGAUCCGCCACACUGGGACUGAGACACGGCCCAGACUCCUACGGGAGGCAGCAGUGGGGAAUAUUGGACAAUGGGCGAAAGCCUGAUCCAGCCAUGCCGCGUGUGUGAAGAAGGCCUUUUGGUUGUAAAGCACUUUAAGCGAGGAGGAGGCUACCGAGAUUAAUACUCUUGGAUAGUGGACGUUACUCGCAGAAUAAGCACCGGCUAACUCUGUGCCAGCAGCCGCGGUAAUACAGAGGGUGCGAGCGUUAAUCGGAUUUACUGGGCGUAAAGCGUGCGUAGGCGGCUUUUUAAGUCGGAUGUGAAAUCCCUGAGCUUAACUUAGGAAUUGCAUUCGAUACUGGGAAGCUAGAGUAUGGGAGAGGAUGGUAGAAUUCCAGGUGUAGCGGUGAAAUGCGUAGAGAUCUGGAGG
RNAcentral lists this ribosomal RNA (597 nucleotides) under uncultured bacterium. RNAcentral describes it as "bacterial SSU rRNA". It matches the Rfam family "Bacterial small subunit ribosomal RNA", at positions 112 to 704 of the family's 1533-position model. The record is from RNAcentral.